UCUGUCAAACCGUGAUGAUAAGUUUUCGGCGUUUGAUUUUCUUUAUUGCUUUUUGAAAUUGUGAAGUGUGUACUAAAACUUGUUGUGAACUUAAAAAUAGUGAUAAAACAUAGUUCUUUCGCUAAUGUAAGUUGCCAAGUAUAGAUUUGAAUCGUUGCAACUGUAAGAAGGCAUUGGUAUUUAUGUGAACCUACGCUAAGUCGCGUUAAGUUUUGAGUCGAAAUACCAUCAGAAAAUGCAGAUGGCUGAAAAAUCUUCGUCGGAAGUAGAUUAAGUAAUUGUGCGGCGAUCGUGAGAUGUGUACAGGAGUUGGAUUGUCUAUAGAUCUAUAGAUAAAACAAUCUGGUAUGCUUCAAUAAUCGAAUUAUCAAUAAGGUAGGAAGGUAACAAUAAGUAAAUCCCUACUGGUUUAGUUUCCUGGGCGUUCAAUUUAUAGAAAAAAUCGUU
Armigeres subalbatus is the source of this 447-nucleotide long non-coding RNA. RefSeq lists it as uncharacterized. The transcript is spliced from 3 exons. The record is from RefSeq and is a predicted model, not a curated record. Lineage: Eukaryota; Metazoa; Arthropoda; Insecta; Diptera; Culicidae.